Molecule: ribosomal RNA, 783 nt
Filed under: uncultured organism
Description: bacterial SSU rRNA
Rfam family: Bacterial small subunit ribosomal RNA
Source: RNAcentral
CCUGGCUCAGGAUGAACGCUAGCGGCAGGCCUAACACAUGCAAGUCGAGGGGUAACGGGGUAGCUUGCUACCGCCGACGACGGCGCACGGGUGCGUAACGCGUAUACAUCUGCCUUUACUAAGGAAUAGCCCAUGGAAACGUGGAUUAAUGCCUUAUGGUAUGCUUACCUCGCAUGAGCGUAAGUAUUAAAGGUUACGGUAAAGGAUGAGUAUGCGUCCUAUUAGCUAUUAUGUAGGGUAACGGCCUACAUAGGCGAUGAUAGGUAGGGGUUCUGAGAGGGAGAUCCCCCACACUGGUACUGAGACACGGACCAGACUCCUACGGGAGGCAGCAGUGAGGAAUAUUGGACAAUGGGAGCAAUCCUGAUCCAGCCAUGCCGCGUGCAGGAAGACGGUCCUAUGGAUUGUAAACUGCUUUUAUACAGGAAGAAAAAGCCCGACGAGUCGGGUGUUGACGGUACUGUAUGAAUAAGGAUCGGCUAACUCCGUGCCAGCAGCCGCGGUAAUACGGAGGAUCCGAGCGUUAUCCGGAAUUAUUGGGUUUAAAGGGUCCGUAGGCGGGAUAAUAAGUCAGUGGUGAAAGUUUGUGGCUCAACCAUAAAAUUGCCAUUGAUACUGUUAUUCUUGAGUAAUUGUGAAGUGGUUAGAAUGUGUAGUGUAGCGGUGAAAUGCAUAGAUAUUACACAGAAUACCAAUUGCGAAGGCGGAUCACUAACAAUUAACUGACGCUGAUGGACGAAAGCGUAGGUAGCGAACAGGAUUAGAUACCCUGGUAGUCUACGC